RNAcentral lists this ribosomal RNA (604 nucleotides) under Oenococcus oeni. RNAcentral's name for it is "bacterial LSU rRNA". It matches the Rfam family "Bacterial large subunit ribosomal RNA", at positions 1109 to 1728 of the family's 2925-position model. The record is from RNAcentral. Lineage: Bacteria; Bacillati; Bacillota; Bacilli; Lactobacillales; Lactobacillaceae.
GAAGCAGCCACCCUUUAAAGAGUGCGUAAUAGCUCACUAGUCGAGUGCUCUUGCGCGGAUAAUGUACCGGGGCUAAGCAUAUUACCGAAACUGUGGAUGCGUAAGCAUGGUAGGAUAGCGUAAUUAACGCGAUGAAGGAUGACCGUAAGGACAUGUUGGAGCGUUAACUAGUGAGAAUUCCGGUAUGAGUAGCGAAAGAUAGGUGAGAAUCCUAUCCACCGAAUGAGUAAGGUUUCCCCCGGAAGGCUCGUCCGCGGGGGGUUAGUCGGGACCUAAGGCGAGGCUGAAAAGCGUAGUCGAUGGACAACAGGUUGAUAUUCCUGUACCGAUAUUUAAUUGCCGAAGGAAGGACGCAGAAGGAUAACACAGGCCACUAUUGGAUGUGGUUUUAAACAGUUAGUCUUCAUAAGAGUCAAAUGCUUUUAUGUUUAAGGAUAAGCUGUGAAUGUACCAAGUUUACUUGGAAAUUGUGUGAUUUCACGCUGCUGAAAAAAGUUUCGUAGGAAGAAAAUAUUGCCCGUACCGCAAACCGACACAGGUACUCGAGUGGAGAACACUAAGGUGAGCGAGUGAACUAUUGUUAAGGAACUCUGCAAAAUGAGUC